GCCAUUGUUUAAUAGUUUUAUUAAAUAAAAGUUUUGCGUGGAAACUAAAUGGACUAGCGAGAAGAUGCAAUGCACCCUGUCAAAUUGUGUUAACAUUGAUGAAACUGAAAACUGUAUACCAUCAUCAUUAAAAGCAUGGAUUGACAAAGAGCUAAGAAGUGGAGUAGUUUACAAAAUUCAAUGUCCAUGCUAUAACACAUGCUAUGUUGGACAAACAGUCAGGCAUUUAAUUACUCGCUUCAAAGAACACCUGUAAGCCUCGACACCAGUUAGAUAACAUGCCAAGCGUUGCUGUAACCUGGAAAUUACAAACAACAAACUCUCAAUCUUAGGGUAAGCACACCGCUGUGCAGAAUAUUUAAUGACUUUGGAAGCUCUGUGGGUCAGGGCAAUCAAACCCACUUUAAACACCAAAGAUGAGUACAGAAGCAGGGUGUUAACAAUACAAGUUUAGCUGUUGUAUAUAAUGUAAACCACUAACAUUUUCUUUUAAACUAAUUAAAUGUUAUUCCCUGGUGUGAUUUUAACAUUUAAUUAUGCUCAUAACUUGAAAUGUUGAUAGAUUUUAUCUAUAUAAAUUUUGUAAAAAUUGUUUUUUGCUUUUUAGUAAGUAUGAAUAAAUUGUAUUUAUUGCUUUUAUUUAUUUUAGUUAUCUUGAUGAUGGAAGAAAAUUCCGAAAUAUAUUGAUAAAAAAUAAA
This is a long non-coding RNA of Hydractinia symbiolongicarpus, 698 nucleotides long. RefSeq lists it as uncharacterized. The transcript is spliced from 2 exons. The record is from RefSeq and is a predicted model, not a curated record. NCBI's taxonomy places the organism in Eukaryota, Metazoa, Cnidaria, Hydrozoa, Anthoathecata, Hydractiniidae.